AACGAACGCUGGCGGCAUGCCUAACACAUGCAAGUCGAACGAGACCUUCGGGUCUAGUGGCGCACGGGUGCGUAACGCGUGGGAACCUGCCCUUAGGUUCGGAAUAACUCCCCGAAAGGGGUGCUAAUACCGGAUAAUGUCUUCGGACCAAAGAUUUAUCGCCUUUGGAUGGGCCCGCGUUGGAUUAGCUAGUUGGUAGGGUAAAAGCCUACCAAGGCGACGAUCCAUAGCUGGUCUGAGAGGAUGAUCAGCCACACUGGGACUGAGACACGGCCCAGACCCCAUGGGGGGGCGGGAGGGGGGAUAAUGGAGCAAUGGGGGAAGGCCUGAUCCAGCAAGGCCGGGGGAGGGAUGAAGGCCUUGGGGUUGAAAAGCUCUUUUCCCCGGGAUGAAAAUACAAGUCCCGGGAAAAAAAACCCCGCCAAACCCCGG
RNAcentral lists this ribosomal RNA (432 nucleotides) under uncultured bacterium. RNAcentral describes it as "partial 16S ribosomal RNA". It matches the Rfam family "Bacterial small subunit ribosomal RNA", at positions 29 to 506 of the family's 1533-position model. The record is from RNAcentral.